RNAcentral lists this ribosomal RNA (251 nucleotides) under uncultured prokaryote. RNAcentral describes it as "partial 16S ribosomal RNA". It matches the Rfam family "Bacterial small subunit ribosomal RNA", at positions 524 to 774 of the family's 1533-position model. The record is from RNAcentral.
UACGGAGGAUGCAAGCGUUAUCCGGAUUUAUUGGGUUUAAAGGGUGCGUAGGCGGAUAUGUAAGUCAGCGGUGAAACUCACAGGCUCAACCUGUGCCGUGCCGUUGAAACUGUGUAUCUGGAAUGCGGAUGCUGUGGGAGGAAUGUGUAGUGUAGCGGUGAAAUGCAUAGAUAUUACACAGAACACCGAUUGCGAAGGCAUCUCACAAAGCCGUUAUUGACGCUGAGGCACGAAAGUGUGGGGAUCAAACA